UGACUAAUUCUGAAGAAUAUUAAUAUUGUAUUCAUAUUCUUAAUUUGCUGGACAGAUGUACAGCAGUGGUAACCCCACAAACAUUGCUAACCCUAUUAAGGAAGCCAGCAUCCGGAUUGAUAUACGAACAAAUAGUGGGCGGCUUACAUUAUUUGAGACAACAUUGUGUGAAAAAAUCUCAUGGGAUGAAAUUGGUUCACAUACUGAUAUGGAUCCUGGAGGUUAUUUACGUGCUUAUGAUGAGAAAGACAUUCAAUUAAUAUGCUGCCAAGCUGACGGUAGCACAUUGUGGCUUGUUCCACCUGUAGUCCAGGCUGGAUACAUGAAUUCUCUCAGAUGGAGCAUGGACAUCAUCUUUUCCUGGCAGUUAACCAGGGAUCGGCCCAAAGGAAAGGAAGUUGUGAGAUAUGAAUUGAUUGUUCGAGAUGAGGAUCUUCCAACAUAUUCAGAAAUAAUGGCAGUGCUAAAUGGUAGUGCCAAUAGCUUCAGAAUACAUAAUGUUUUUCCAAGAUACUUCCGGGUUACUGGAUCUGGUGAAGUUCGAUUUUUGGAAGAUUUGGUAUGUUGUUUUCCUUCCCCUAUGCUUUCCUCUCUUGCCUUGAUGUUUAUGAAUACUGGCAACCAAGGUAAUCCAUCAGUGUCAAUUGAUCAGCUACCAUUGAAAACAGCAGUUUGACAUUAUGUUUAUGCAGGUAGAUCUGGUUAGUGGGGAUCUUGUUCUCAAUCGUGGAAAUCUGGAGUGGUGGUCUUUUCAUGUCAUUAAUGUGUCAUCUGGAUGUGGUGACUUUGCAGGUCCUAUGGCCAUAAUUGUAUCUGAGGAAACACCACAGGGCAUUCUAGGUGAAACACUUAGCAAGUUCAGUAUCUGGGGUCUGUACAUUACCUUUGUGCUCGCAGUUGGUCGUUUUAUCAGACUACAAUGUUCUGAUCUAAGAAUGAGAAUACCAUUUGAGAAUCUUCCUUCUUGUGACAGGUUGAUGGCAAUCUGUGAGGAUAUUUAUGCUGCAAGAGCAGAGGGUGAGCUUGAAGUUGAAGAGGUUCUUUAUUGGACACUGGUGAAGAUUUAUCGAUCUCCACACAUGCUGCUUGAAUACACCAAGCCUGACUAAGUCAUCUGGGAUGUGUGAUCUCUUGUCACUUGCUAUCCUUCCUAGCAUAAAUGCUUAAAUCUAGACCCGAUUUGAUUGAGACUAUAAAAACUCAUUAUUUAUUGAUGGGAAAUUUUGAGGAUUCAUUUAGCAGUGAUGCACAUUUUUUUCAAUUGGAUAAAAGGAUCUUUUUAUUAUUGGAAUUUUUUUCCUUCCAUGGAAGAUUUCCCAUAAUUAGAUGUACAGGUUAACGAGCACAAAAAUGUUACAGGCAAGGGAAAUGUGGAAGCUCUACUAAUUUUGAAAAGAGCUUCUGUAGUCCAUGGAGUGAACUUAACAAUGGAAAAUGUAAAAUUCCACAUUCUUGGCGAAUUGUAUAGAUUUAUGCUACAUCUUCCUGAAAUUACUAGUUCUACUUUUAGAACUGGUUUAUACUUCUGUUGAAUGAAUCUAGUACUUGCUAUGGCAAAAGACUUGAGUGUCGAUUGAAUCCUUACCUUUUGGCGAUGAAAUGCUGCUACCCUGAAAUCCUUGGGGUAUUCUUCAUGUUCAUACUUCCUUACAAUCUGUAGAAUUCAUGUUGAAGAAACACUUGAUUUUGAUCAUAGUACUUUGUUGCAUUGUUAAGCUCUUGGACAGAAAAGCAUCGGAUAGGAACUCUGCCAUUAAUUAUUAAAGGUGAUCGAUUCCUCUAAUAACGUUCCUCCAUUUCUAAUUAGCACUGUCUCAUCCUUCUUGGCUCUAAGGAGUGGAGUUAUCUUGCCUUUGCAAUAAACUCCAAAUUCAGUACUCACUCAAAUCAUGAAGUGCUUUGCUCUCUGGCUAGCAAGUACAAUGUUUCCUGUGAUUUCACUUGUGCCUAUGGAUAUAUUUCCG
RNAcentral lists this unclassified non-coding RNA (1964 nucleotides) under Hevea brasiliensis (rubber tree). Lineage: Eukaryota; Viridiplantae; Streptophyta; Magnoliopsida; Malpighiales; Euphorbiaceae. The record is from RNAcentral.